UACGUAGGGAGCAAGCGUUAUCCGGAAUGAUUGGGUGUAAAGGGUGAGUAGGCGGUUUUACGAAGUCGCAUGUUAAAAGCCAUGGCUUAACUGUGGUGUGGCAUGAGAAACUUGUAGACUAGAGUGCAGGAGAGGUAAGCGGAAUUCCUAGUGUAGCGGUGAAAUGCGUAGAUAUUAGGAAGAACACCAGUGGCGAAGGCGGCUUACUGGACUGUAACAGACGCUGAGGCACGAAAGCAUGGGGAGCAAA
RNAcentral lists this ribosomal RNA (250 nucleotides) under uncultured prokaryote. Its description in RNAcentral is "partial 16S ribosomal RNA". It matches the Rfam family "Bacterial small subunit ribosomal RNA", at positions 524 to 772 of the family's 1533-position model. The record is from RNAcentral.